UCUUUAUUUCACGUACUCUCUCACCGGUCAGAGAGGCGAGAGAGUGCGCAAAAUGAAGAGA
Molecule: non-coding RNA, 61 nt
Organism: Pristionchus pacificus
Lineage: Eukaryota; Metazoa; Nematoda; Chromadorea; Rhabditida; Neodiplogasteridae
Source: Rfam